AUCUACUACGUGCGUUUAUCCCUCAUCUAUCUCCUUAUACUGUUGUCUCUUUUGCGAGAGAAGGGAGAUAAGAAGAGGAGAAAAAGGCCAACUGGUAUGCAAGUUUGAAUUCUGACCAAGCUCUCAUUUAAUGAACAAGUUGGAUGGCCCCUUCAACUUUCAACUACAACCGUUGGCAAAGUUGGUGUCAGCAUUUACUUCUCGCCAACCACCUGUUUCCCUAACAAUUUUGGCUUCUUACUUCUACCUGUACAGAUCAAGUAAAAAGCCAACUCCUGCAAAUCCUACUUAUAUAUAACCCUCUGGCCAUAAACCCAUCUUAAGUAGUAGUUUGUUGUAGUACAAUAUCUGGAAGUCCUGAACCAUGGGUAGUGAAGGAGAUCUCCUUUCC
This 391-nucleotide long non-coding RNA is filed under the name Linum usitatissimum (flax). Its description in RNAcentral is "long non-coding RNA (LUSI_LNC001405)". The record is from RNAcentral. Lineage: Eukaryota; Viridiplantae; Streptophyta; Magnoliopsida; Malpighiales; Linaceae.